RNAcentral lists this ribosomal RNA (350 nucleotides) under Salmonella enterica. RNAcentral describes it as "bacterial LSU rRNA". It matches the Rfam family "Bacterial large subunit ribosomal RNA", at positions 1084 to 1348 of the family's 2925-position model. The record is from RNAcentral. Lineage: Bacteria; Pseudomonadati; Pseudomonadota; Gammaproteobacteria; Enterobacterales; Enterobacteriaceae. RNAcentral also lists the same sequence under 2 other names.
CCCAGACAGCCAGGAUGUUGGCUUAGAAGCAGCCAUCAUUUAAAGAAAGCGUAAUAGCUCACUGGUCGAGUCGGCCUGCGCGGAAGAUGUAACGGGGCUAAACCAUGCACCGAAGCUGCGGCAGCGAACGUAUCACCCAAGACAACUUUACGGAGUUAACGAUUGACGGAGCGAAGCGACGUCAAAGCGUUCAUUAAAGUCGAGUUGGCUUAGGGAUACGUUCGUUGGGUAGGGGAGCGUUCUGUAAGCCUGUGAAGGUGGCCUGUGAGGGUUGCUGGAGGUAUCAGAAGUGCGAAUGCUGACAUAAGUAACGAUAAAGCGGGUGAAAAGCCCGCUCGCCGGAAGACCAA